AGUCUUAUAGUCAAUUAAUAUGAUUUUAAAUUGCAAAUUUAAAGGAGAAGAAAUUCUAAGGCUU
Molecule: transfer RNA, 64 nt
Filed under: Glaresis sp. GLA01
Lineage: Eukaryota; Metazoa; Arthropoda; Insecta; Coleoptera; Glaresidae
Description: tRNA-Cys
Source: RNAcentral